This 440-nucleotide ribosomal RNA is filed under the name uncultured Exiguobacterium sp. RNAcentral describes it as "bacterial SSU rRNA". It matches the Rfam family "Bacterial small subunit ribosomal RNA", at positions 358 to 790 of the family's 1533-position model. The record is from RNAcentral. Lineage: Bacteria; Bacillati; Bacillota; Bacilli; Caryophanales.
GGAAUUUUCCGCAAUGGGCGAAAGCCUGACGGAGCAAUGCCGCGUGGGUGAUGAAGGUUUUCGGAUCGUAAAACUCUGUUGUGAGGGAAGAACAAGUACGAGAGGAAAUGCUCGUACCUUGACGGUACCUUGCGAGAAAGCCACGGCUAACUACGUGCCAGCAGCCGCGGUAAUACGUAGGUGGCAAGCGUUGUCCGGAAUUAUUGGGCGUAAAGCGCGCGCAGGCGGCCUUUUAAGUCUGAUGUGAAAGCCCCCGGCUCAACCGGGGAGGGUCAUUGGAAACUGGAAGGCUUGAGUACAGAAGAGAAGAGUGGAAUUCCAUGUGUAGCGGUGAAAUGCGUAGAGAUGUGGAGGAACACCAGUGGCGAAGGCGACUCUUUGGUCUGUAACUGACGCUGAGGCGCGAAAGCGUGGGGAGCAAACAGGAUUAGAUACCCGUG